GAUGAAGAACGUAGCGAAAUGCGAUACGUAGUGUGAAUUGCAGAAUUCAGUGAAUCAUCGAAUCUUUGAACGCACAUUGCACCUCUCGGUAUUCCGGGAGGUAUGCCUGUUCGAGCGUCAUUUGUACCCUCAAGCUCUGCUUGGUGUUGGGUGUUUGUUCCGCCUCUGUGUGUGAACUCGCCUCAAAACAAUUGGCAGCCGGCGUACUUGUUUCGGAGCGCAGCACAUUUUGCGAUCCAGAACAACGUACAGCGGCAUCCAAGAAGCCUUAUUUAACGCUCUUGACCUCGGAUCAGGUAGGGAUACCCGCUGAACUUAAGCAUAUCAAUAAGCGGAGGA
This 339-nucleotide unclassified non-coding RNA is filed under the name soil metagenome. RNAcentral describes it as "partial contains 5.8S ribosomal RNA, internal transcribed spacer 2, and large subunit ribosomal RNA". The stretch from base 1 to 120 matches the Rfam family "5.8S ribosomal RNA", at positions 35 to 154 of the family's 154-position model. The record is from RNAcentral.